RNAcentral lists this ribosomal RNA (465 nucleotides) under uncultured Klebsiella sp. RNAcentral's name for it is "bacterial SSU rRNA". It matches the Rfam family "Bacterial small subunit ribosomal RNA", at positions 338 to 795 of the family's 1533-position model. The record is from RNAcentral. Lineage: Bacteria; Pseudomonadati; Pseudomonadota; Gammaproteobacteria; Enterobacterales; Enterobacteriaceae.
CCUACGGGCGGCAGCAGUGGGGAAUAUUGCACAAUGGGCGCAAGCCUGAUGCAGCCAUGCCGCGUGUGUGAAGAAGGCCUUCGGGUUGUAAAGCACUUUCAGCGGGGAGGAAGGCGGUGAGGCUAAUAACCUCAUCGAUUGACGUUACCCGCAGAAGAAGCACCGGCUAACUCCGUGCCAGCAGCCGCGGUAAUACGGAGGGUGCAAGCGUUAAUCGGAAUUACUGGGCGUAAAGCGCACGCAGGCGGUCUGUCAAGUCGGAUGUGAAAUCCCCGGGCUCAACCUGGGAACUGCAUUCGAAACUGGCAGGCUAGAGUCUUGUAGAGGGGGGUAGAAUUCCAGGUGUAGCGGUGAAAUGCGUAGAGAUCUGGAGGAAUACCGGUGGCGAAGGCGGCCCCCUGGACAAAGACUGACGCUCAGGUGCGAAAGCGUGGGGAGCAAACAGGAUUAGAUACCCUUGUAGUC